AGAGAGAGACAUGCGCGCAUAUCAAUAAGCGGAGGAAAAGAAACUAACAAGGAUUCCCUUAGUAACGGCGAGUGAAGCGGGAAGAGCUCAAAUUUGAAAUCUUCAAGGUUUUACCCUGACGAAUUGUAGUUUAAAGAAGUGUUUUCUGCUGAAGUUUUGGUAAAAGUUCUUUGGAAUAGGACAUCAUAGAGGGUGAGAAUCCCGUAUUUGACCAUUAUUUUCAGCUUUGUGAUACACUUUCAAAGAGUCGGAUUGUUUGGGAAUGCAGUCCAAAAUGGGUGGUAAAUUUCAUCUAAAGCUAAAUAUUGGCGAGAGACCGAUAGCGAACAAGUACCGUGAGGGAAAGAUGAAAAGAACUUUGAAAAGAGAGUUAAACAGUACGUGAAAUUGUCAAAAGGGAAGCGUUUGACACCAGUGUUGUUUUCUCGAAAAUCAAUUAAAAAUGGCUCGAUUUUGUAUUGUUGAGACCUUAAAAGCUCACUGUACAUUUUUCGUGUCUUUUUUAAUGCACUUUUCGUUUAACAAGUCAACAUCAGUUUCUUUUGUUGUAAAAGGGUCAUUGGAAGGUGGCUUUCUUUUCGGAGAAAGUGUUUAUAGCCUUUGGCCUCUGCAAUCGAAGAGACUGAGGUCUGCAGCGUAGACUCUUCGGGGUUAGAUACAUUUGUGCUAAGUUAUAGCUUUUAUAGACAACUUGUUGACUAUGAUUAGUCAUGUAGCUUACUCGCUUAUGCUAUUUUACCUACGCUUAGGAUGUUGAGUCGUAGAGCACGCAG
RNAcentral lists this ribosomal RNA (773 nucleotides) under uncultured Neocallimastigales. Its description in RNAcentral is "partial large subunit ribosomal RNA". It matches the Rfam family "Eukaryotic large subunit ribosomal RNA", at positions 23 to 634 of the family's 3401-position model. Lineage: Eukaryota; Fungi; Neocallimastigomycota; Neocallimastigomycetes; Neocallimastigales. The record is from RNAcentral.